This 1383-nucleotide long non-coding RNA is filed under the name Equus asinus (donkey). RNAcentral's name for it is "lncRNA (ENSEASG00005038037.1)". The record is from RNAcentral. Lineage: Eukaryota; Metazoa; Chordata; Mammalia; Perissodactyla; Equidae.
UUAUCUCUAGUUCUGCGUUCCAAUAAGAUUCUGGGGAAAAGCUGUAUUCUACCUGGAAUCUCUCAGGUUUCUUUCCAGGCUAGAUAGAGGAGUUCUGGCUAUUUUGAGGAGAGGGCUUUCUUUUUGUUUUUUUUAAACUGGCACAAAAAUCACAUCCUCUUUCUUAUGCAAUGGGACAAAUAUGAGUAUGUCAAAGAUGACAUCUUCUCUGUGAUCUGAAGUUGUCCUCCUGAAAAUAAGGAAUAUGGUAGGGGAAAAAAGUCUAUGUAAGCCCCAGACCUCAGUUUCAUGACCUCGUCAUCUCUAAGUAUUGCUGGGACUCCACUUCAGUCCCUCACUCCCACGACCAGAUUCUGUCCUGGUGACCACGGAGGAAGGGAUGCUCCAUGGACAGGAUCUAAGCACAGCCUCCUCUCCUGACAAGCCACUUGGUCCAUUACUGCCCACAGCCUCAAGCUUCUCCUUCAUCAGGAUCUCAGAUAAGACUUAAGUCCAAGAUCACACAGUCAAUAAGUGGUGGAGAUAAAACUUGAACCCCACCAGGUCAAAAGAAGCAAACUCCUGUCUAACGUAGCAAGCAGACGCUUGUCAUAAAAAGAUCAAGAUGCCCUGUUGAAAACUUAAGAGCCACUCCCUAGGACUGCGCCCCCUGUGGGGACAUUGAGCAUUGCACGUUAGCAGAAAGCAGCUGGAGGCUCCACUCUGGGCCGGGUACUUGCCAGUGUAGACAUAGACCUCCCACUUUAAGCAUAAACCUGAAGUUUCUUUAUUGGUUUGAAAUACACUGGGCCUUGACUGGUCAAAGAGGUGAGCAGAUAUAUACUAGGCCGUGUUAAACUUUCAUCAGCAGCAUGAUUUCUACCAUGUGCAUGCAUUCACAAAGUUCUACUUUAAAGAUCUUAAAUUCCGCGGUUUCUUUACCUGGGCUGGAUGUGGCCUUUGUGGAUGGUCCUUUUCUUUCUGCCUUGGCUGCAGCGCCCCCACCUCUAAACGUUUCCCCAGAACUGGAAAGUGAAAAGUGCCUUUGUAAGGCGCUCAGGUGUGAGAAUGGCUGCCCCAGGUAUGUAUUUUGACAGCAGAGAAAGCUUGCUGUGGGUCAGUCCCCGCAUCCCACGAGCCCCAUCCCCUGGGCCCUGGAUGUCUGCGGCCCGCAGGGUUCUCAGACUGCAGUGUCCUCAAACCUCACUGUCCUCAGACCACAGUCCACAGGGUCCUCAGGCCCCAGUGUCCUCAGGCCCCAGUGUCCUCAGGCCACAGGGUCCUCAGACUCAGCCCUUGCCCACCCAGCUCACAAGGCUAGUUCCCUCCAGGAGAGGAGGCCCCUCUGGAUGAGAUUUGGAAAAUGUCAAGCGAACCUCAGGCUCUGGGGCUUUGUCUCUGCUG